CAAGAGUCUCCUUCCUUCUCCUUUGCAAACUCACGGCACAAGAGGGAUGUUUGGGUGAAUGGUGUAGAGAAAAUAUGGUAGAGGGUGGUGAGAAUGAAAGGGUGCGGCACUACAUAUAUAUAGGCUGAAAAUCACAGCCCCUAGGUAGCAAAGGAAAAGGAUUUAAAGGCCUAAUUUGCAUAGGAAAAUAAAACACAAUCCUUGAAGGAAAACAAAUCAGAAAUCCAAAGGGAAUGGGAGGAUAAGGUGCGGCACUAAACUAGGAAGGGAUAAGGGCUUCUAGAAACCAAAAUCCCAAGGGAAUUGGGUAAAAACUCACGGCACCAUUUGGAGGGAAAGUGGCUGAAUUGCAAUGCAAGGCAAAGGUCUUCUAGAAAGGUUCUAGGCGCCACCUUUGUAGGAAAGGAUUAGGUCUUCUAGAAAUCUGAUUUUAAGCAUUCUAAUAUAGUUAGGAAUCCUCCCAAGUAGCUGAAAUAUAUGUGGAUUAGGAUUAGGAUAAGAUAGGAUAGGAUAAGGUUUGGAUAAUGUUUUGGAUAAGGUUUCUUCACUUGAGCUGAUUCUUUGGCUUUAACUUCCCAUCUUCAAGUAGGAAACCUUGUUUGAGUAGGAAACUUCAAUCUUCUAGAAAUCCAAGUUCAACUAGGAAUCAUUCUUCAACUAGGAAUCCUUCUUCAACUAGGAAUCCAUUGUUGACUAGGAUUUCAUCUUCAAUUAAGCACUUUCCUACUUCACUUAGGAAACUUUGCAUCUUCAAUUCUUCAACUUUGAAACACAUUCCUAGCCUCAUUAAUCCUUCAAAUUCGUCCAUUCUUUGUGCUCCACAUGCAUGAGCUCCAUUCUAGCUCAAUUUUGCUCCAAAAUGCUCCAAUUUACAUCUUUUUGCUUACUUUGUCCUUAAAACCUGAAAACGCAUGAAAAUAGCUUAAAAGACUAACUUAACUAAGAAAACACAACAUAAAUGCAUAAGAAC
RNAcentral lists this long non-coding RNA (970 nucleotides) under Malus domestica (apple). RNAcentral's name for it is "long non-coding RNA (MDOM_LNC018360)". Lineage: Eukaryota; Viridiplantae; Streptophyta; Magnoliopsida; Rosales; Rosaceae. The record is from RNAcentral.